RNAcentral lists this ribosomal RNA (1513 nucleotides) under uncultured bacterium. RNAcentral's name for it is "bacterial SSU rRNA". It matches the Rfam family "Bacterial small subunit ribosomal RNA". The record is from RNAcentral.
AGAGUUUGAUCCUGGCUCAGAUUGAACGCUGGCGGCAGGCCUAACACAUGCAAGUCGAACGGUAGCACAGAGAGCUUGCUCUCGGGUGACGAGUGGCGGACGGGUGAGUAAUGUCUGGGAAACUGCCUGAUGGAGGGGGAUGACUACUGGAAACGGUAGCUAAUACCGCAUAACGUCGCAAGACCAAAGAGGGGGACCUUCGGGCCUCUUGCCAUCAGAUGUGCCCAGAUGGGAUUAGCUAGUAGGUGGGGUAACGGCUCACCUAGGCGACGAUCCCUAGCUGGUCUGAGAGGAUGACCAGCCACACUGGAACUGAGACACGGUCCAGACUCCUACGGGAGGCAGCAGUGGGGAAUAUUGCACAAUGGGCGCAAGCCUGAUGCAGCCAUGCCGCGUGUAUGAAGAAGGCCUUCGGGUUGUAAAGUACUUUCAGCGGGGAGGAAGGUGUUGUGGUUAAUAACCGCAGCAAUUGACGUUACCCGCAGAAGAAGCACCGGCUAACUCCGUGCCAGCAGCCGCGGUAAUACGGAGGGUGCAAGCGUUAAUCGGAAUUACUGGGCGUAAAGCGCACGCAGGCGGUCUGUCAAGUCGGAUGUGAAAUCCCCGGGCUCAACCUGGGAACUGCAUUCGAAACUGGCAGGCUAGAGUCUUGUAGAGGGGGGUAGAAUUCCAGGUGUAGCGGUGAAAUGCGUAGAGAUCUGGAGGAAUACCGGUGGCGAAGGCGGCCCCCUGGACAAAGACUGACGCUCAGGUGCGAAAGCGUGGGGAGCAAACAGGAUUAGAUACCCUGGUAGUCCACGCCGUAAACGAUGUCGACUUGGAGGUUGUGCCCUUGAGGCGUGGCUUCCGGAGCUAACGCGUUAAGUCGACCGCCUGGGGAGUACGGCCGCAAGGUUAAAACUCAAAUGAAUUGACGGGGGCCCGCACAAGCGGUGGAGCAUGUGGUUUAAUUCGAUGCAACGCGAAGAACCUUACCUACUCUUGACAUCCAGAGAACUUUCCAGAGAUGGAUUGGUGCCUUCGGGAACUCUGAGACAGGUGCUGCAUGGCUGUCGUCAGCUCGUGUUGUGAAAUGUUGGGUUAAGUCCCGCAACGAGCGCAACCCUUAUCCUUUGUUGCCAGCGGUCCGGCCGGGAACUCAAAGGAGACUGCCAGUGAUAAACUGGAGGAAGGUGGGGAUGACGUCAAGUCAUCAUGGCCCUUACGAGUAGGGCUACACACGUGCUACAAUGGCGCAUACAAAGAGAAGCGAACUCGCGAGAGCAAGCGGACCUCAUAAAGUGCGUCGUAGUCCGGAUUGGAGUCUGCAACUCGACUCCAUGAAGUCGGAAUCGCUAGUAAUCGUAGAUCAGAAUGCUACGGUGAAUACGUUCCCGGGCCUUGUACACACCGCCCGUCACACCAUGGGAGUGGGUUGCAAAAGAAGUAGGUAGCUUAACCUUCGGGAGGGCGCUUACCACUUUGUGAUUCAUGACUGGGGUGAAGUCGUAACAAGGUAACCUCAGUCAGUCAA